Molecule: ribosomal RNA, 369 nt
Filed under: uncultured organism
Description: bacterial SSU rRNA
Rfam family: Bacterial small subunit ribosomal RNA
Source: RNAcentral
CGAAGGGGGCUAGCGUUGUUCGGAAUUACUGGGCGUAAAGCGCGCGCAGGCGGUCUUUUAAGUCAGGGGUGAAAGCCCAGAGCUCAACUCUGGAAUUGCCUCUGAAACUAGAAGACUUGGGUACGGGAGAGGUGAGUGGAAUUCCGAGUGUAGAGGUGAAAUUCGUAGAUAUUCGGAAGAACACCAGUGGCGAAGGCGGCUCACUGGCCCGUUACCGACGCUCAGGCGCGACAGCGUGGGGAGCAAACAGGAUUAGAUACCCUGGUAGUCCACGCUGUAAACGAUGGAUGCUAGCCGUUGGUAAGCAUGCUUAUCAGUGGCGCAGCUAACGCAUUAAGCAUCCCGCCUGGGGAUACGGCCGCAAGGUUG